UACGGAGGGUGCGAGCGUUAUCCGGAUUCACUGGGUUUAAAGGGUGCGUAGGCGGGCAUGUAAGUCAGUGGUGAAAUCUUCGGGCUCAACCCGGAAACUGCCAUUGAUACUAUGUGCCUUGAAUGUCGUUGAGGUUUGCGGAAUAUGUCAUGUAGCGGUGAAAUGCUUAGAUAUGACAUAGAACACCGAUUGCGAAGGCAGCAGGCUAAACGAAAAUUGACGCUGAGGCACGAAAGCGUGGGGAUCGAACAGGAUUAGAUACCCUGGUAGUCCACGCCCUAAACGAUGGAUACUCGACAUACGCGAUACACUGUGUGUGUCCGAGCGAAAGCAUUAAGUAUCCCACCUGGGAAGUACGACCGCAAGGUUGAA
RNAcentral lists this ribosomal RNA (372 nucleotides) under uncultured bacterium. RNAcentral describes it as "bacterial SSU rRNA". It matches the Rfam family "Bacterial small subunit ribosomal RNA", at positions 524 to 898 of the family's 1533-position model. The record is from RNAcentral.